AUACGUAGGGUGCAAGCGUUAAUCGGAAUUACUGGGCGUAAAGCGUGCGCAGGCGGUUCGGAAAGAAAGAUGUGAAAUCCCAGGGCUUAACCUUGGAACUGCAUUUUUAACUGUCGAACUCGAGUAUGUCAGAGGGGGGUAGAAUUCCACGUGUAGCAGUGAAAUGCGUAGAGAUGUGGAGGAAUACCGAUGGCGAAGGCAGCCCCCUGGGAUAAUACUGACGCUCAUGCACGAAAGCGUGGGGAGCAAACAGGAUUAGAUACCCUGGUAGUCCACGCCCUAAACGAUGUCAACUAGCUGUUGGGGCCUCCGGGCCUUAGUAGCGCAGCUAACGCGUGAAGUUGACCGCCUGGGGAGUACGGUCGCAAGAUUAAAACUCAAAUGAAUUGGCGGGG
RNAcentral lists this ribosomal RNA (395 nucleotides) under uncultured bacterium. RNAcentral describes it as "partial 16S ribosomal RNA". It matches the Rfam family "Bacterial small subunit ribosomal RNA", at positions 523 to 918 of the family's 1533-position model. The record is from RNAcentral.